This 978-nucleotide ribosomal RNA is filed under the name Redingeria desseiniana. RNAcentral describes it as "eukaryotic LSU rRNA". It matches the Rfam family "Eukaryotic large subunit ribosomal RNA", at positions 111 to 1062 of the family's 3401-position model. Lineage: Eukaryota; Fungi; Ascomycota; Lecanoromycetes; Ostropales; Graphidaceae. The record is from RNAcentral.
AAAUUUGAAAUCUGGCCCUGGGCCCGAAUUGUAAUUUGGAGAAGGUGCUUCGGGUGCGACUGCGGUCCAUGUCCCUUGGAACAGGGCGUCCCAGAGGGUGAGAAUCCCGUCGGUGGCCGAUCGUCAAACCCUUGUGAAGCCCUUUCGACGAGUCGAGUUGUUUGGGAAUGCAGCUCUAAACGGGUGGUAAAUUUCAUCUAAAGCUAAAUAUCUGCUCGAGACCGAUAGCGCACAAGUAGAGUGAUCGAAAGAUGAAAAGCACUUUGAAAAGAGAGUCAAACAGUACGUGAAAUUGUUGAAAGGGAAGGGCUUGCAACCAGACUCGCACGCGGGUGUUCAGCCACCCCCCCGGGGUGGUGUACUCUCCCGCGAUCGGGCCAGCAUCGAUUCUGGCGGUCGGACAAAGGCUUUGGGAAUGUGGCUCCCUUUUGGGGGAGUGUUAUAGCCCGGAGUGAAAUGCGGCCUGCUGGGAUCGAGGACCGCGCAUUUGCUAGGAUGCUGGCGUAAUGGUUGCCAGCCGCCCGUCUUGAAACACGGACCAAGGAGUCGACCAACCGCGCGAGUGUUUGGGCGUCAAACCCAUGCGCGUAAUGAAAGUGAACGGAGGUGGGAGCCUUCGGGUGCACCAUCGACCGAUCCUGAUGUCUUCGGAUGGAUUUGAGUAUGAGCCCGGCUGGUCGGACCCGAAAGGUAAGCUUAUUUCAAAGUUUUGGUUAUCUGUGCUAACAAGCCGUCUGCAGAUGGUGAACUAUGCGUGAAUAGGGUGAAGCCAGAGGAAACUCUGGUGGAGGCUCGCAGCGGUUCUGACGUGCAAAUCGAUCGUCAAAUUUGCGCAUAGGGGCGAAAGACUAAUCGAACCGUCUAGUUGCUGGUUCCCGUCGAAGUUUCCCUCAGGAUAGCAGCAACGGGAACAGUCUCAUGAGGUAGAGCAAACGAUUAGAGGCCUUGGGGUUGAAACAACCUUAACCUAUUCUCGAA